This is a long non-coding RNA of Capsicum annuum, 1250 nucleotides long. RefSeq lists it as uncharacterized. The record is from RefSeq and is a predicted model, not a curated record. NCBI's taxonomy places the organism in Eukaryota, Viridiplantae, Streptophyta, Magnoliopsida, Solanales, Solanaceae. The transcript has 3 exons.
AAUCAAAGUAUCAGGUUUGGCUUUUAUUUGUUUGCCAAAAUUAAGGUAAUCCGAGAAUGAUGCUAAUCUUUGAGAAAGAGUUACGAAAAAAAUGGACUUCCGUUGGAAAAUAUUUUUAGUUGGAAAAAGAUUUUCUUAUCAUAAAAAAAUAUUUUAAGGGAGAAUGAUACAACACUCACAAAUCGAGAAACCAAAUCAUUCACAAAGCUCAACAACAGAAGAUCGCAAAGAACAAGAAAAUCAGUUGAAGAAUAAUUUUAUCUUCUCGAAAAAAAGUGACAACACAAAAUCAGGAUAUGUCUGCACAUAAACCACAAACAAUUUUUACUGAUCAAGAUCCUGCAAUAGCUGCUGCUAUCUCAUUGAUAAUGAGUCAUUUCCGAGAGAUUUUAGCAAACUGUACCGGAGAGGAGCUGCUCCCAAAUGAACCCCACUGACUCAAGAUUAUCCGUGAGAAAGCAUAAAAUACCACUCUUUCAAUUGAUAGACUGUAAACAUUCGUGCAUCUAAAAGUGCUUUUUACAAGGGGACCUGUCAGAUAUAAACAGCAUGAUCGUAUUCCUUUUUCAGACCCAAAGAGUUGGGAAGGACUCUCAGCUUGGAUUUGGAAGGAGAGAGCGAUUUGAGUUUGGACUCUUGGAACUACAAGUUACAGCUAUCUAGUCCUAACUCCCUAAGAGCAUCCGUUGCAACAUUCUUAUAGCUUUUGUAAUUCAUCUUAUCCUUUCUCAUGAGUUUCUCAAUGACAUUACGAAGGAAAAUAGCUAUGUUUUCUGGACUCCUAACCACAAGAUUUUGAAUCAUGAAACAACAACUUCUUUGUAGUAACUCUGAUUCUGGAAACCUCUGCAUUUCUUGGAUAACGGCAUCAUCGGAUCUUGCUUCAAUUACACACUCAGCAAUCUGCAUUAUGUGAAACCUCAAGGACAGUAUAGUUAUCAUAGACAUGAGAACUUAGAUGCCGAUAAUUUCAUCUACUUGGCACUUGUGUUUCAUGCACUUCAUGGUCAUAGCAUCGGGAAUUCAUCCAUUUUUCUCAUUACCAACAUGUUCAAGAAUUAUACACACCACUCCUUGUACAAAAAUUUCAAGUAUACGCGUAAAAUUUUAGUAUAAAGAAAACAAAUUAAAAGAGAGGACUUACAUUGUCAAUGAACUUUCGUCUGCUGAAUAUUAAAGCAAAAAAUCAAUAGCACAAAAAGUGACAAAUAAAAUAGAAAAGAAAAAUGUUGAUAGGUUUCUUAUAAAUG